UACGGAAGGCAGCAGUGGGGAAUAUUGCACAAUGGGCGCAAGCCUGAUGCAGCCAUGCCGCGUGUAUGAAGAAGGCCUUCGGGUCGUAAAGUACUUUCAGUCGUGAGGAAGGUGUUAAGGUUAAUAACCUUAGCAAUUGACGUUAGCGACAGAAGAAGCACCGGCUAACUCCGUGCCAGCAGCCGCGGUAAUACGGAGGGUGCGAGCGUUAAUCGGAAUUACUGGGCGUAAAGGGCACGCAGGCGGUUAAUUAAGUUGGAUGUGAAAUCCCCGGGCUUAACCUGGGAAUGGCAUUCAAGACUGGUUAGCUAGAGUCUUGUAGAGGGGGUUAGAAUUCCAUGUGUAGCGGUGAAAUGCGUAGAGAUGUGGAGGAAUACCGGUGGCGAAGGCGGCCCCUGGACAAAGGACUGACGCUCAUGUGCGAAAGCGUGGGGAGCAAACAGGAUUAGAUACC
RNAcentral lists this ribosomal RNA (454 nucleotides) under uncultured bacterium. RNAcentral's name for it is "bacterial SSU rRNA". It matches the Rfam family "Bacterial small subunit ribosomal RNA", at positions 340 to 786 of the family's 1533-position model. The record is from RNAcentral.